AAGGAUUGUUUCGAUCCAAUUGACUCAAGGACUUCCACGAGGACUUAAAGACAUGUAAAAAGGCUUAUAAAAGGAGGGGAAUAACAAGGAUUAGAGGGCAUGUCAGGAGAUUAGGAGAAAUUAGAGAGAACAUUUCAUUAGAUUAGAUUAGAGUAAAUUAGAUCAAAACACUAUUUCUAAAUAGUUUUGGAGAUUGAAG
RNAcentral lists this long non-coding RNA (199 nucleotides) under Panax ginseng (ginseng). RNAcentral describes it as "long non-coding RNA (PGIN_LNC000060)". Lineage: Eukaryota; Viridiplantae; Streptophyta; Magnoliopsida; Apiales; Araliaceae. The record is from RNAcentral.